This 370-nucleotide ribosomal RNA is filed under the name uncultured Methyloversatilis sp. RNAcentral's name for it is "bacterial SSU rRNA". It matches the Rfam family "Bacterial small subunit ribosomal RNA", at positions 544 to 915 of the family's 1533-position model. The record is from RNAcentral. Lineage: Bacteria; Pseudomonadati; Pseudomonadota; Betaproteobacteria; Nitrosomonadales; Sterolibacteriaceae.
AGCAGAUGAUUGGGUCUAAAGUGUGCGCAGGCGGUUGUGUAAGACAGGUGUGAAAUCCCCGGGCUUAACCUGGGAACUGCGCUUGUGACUGCACGGCUAGAGUAUGGCAGAGGGGGGUGGAAUUCCACGUGUAGCAGUGAAAUGCGUAGAGAUGUGGAGGAACACCGAUGGCGAAGGCAGCCCCCUGGGCCAAUACUGACGCUCAUGCACGAAAGCGUGGGGAGCAAACAGGAUUAGAUACCCUGGUAGUCCACGCCCUAAACGAUGUCGACUAGGUGUUCGGUGAGGAGACUCAUUGAGUACCGCAGCUAACGCGUGAAGUCGACCGCCUGGGGAGUACGGUCGCAAGAUUAAAACUAAAAAAUUGACG